CGACCGCUGGCGGCAGGCCUAACACAUGCACGUCGAGCGAGGACUUCGGUUCUAGCGGCGGACGGGUGAGUAACGCGUGGGAAUGUGCCCUUCUCUACGGAAUAGCCCUGGGAAACUGGGAGUAAUACCGUAUACGCCCUAUUGGGGAAAGAUUUAUCGGAGAAGGAUCAGCCCGCGUUGGAUUAGGUAGUUGGUGGGGUAAUGGCCUACCAAGCCGACGAUCCAUAGCUGGUUUGAGAGGAUGAUCAGCCACACUGGGACUGAGACACGGCCCAGACUCCUACGGGAGGCAGCAGUGGGGAAUCUUAGACAAUGGGGGCAACCCUGAUCGAGCCAUGCCGCGUGAGUGAUGAAGGCCUUAGGGUUAUAAAGCUCUUUCAGCUGGGAAGAUAAUGACGGUACCAGCAGAAGAAGCCCCGGCUAACUCCGUG
RNAcentral lists this ribosomal RNA (431 nucleotides) under uncultured bacterium. RNAcentral's name for it is "partial 16S ribosomal RNA". It matches the Rfam family "Bacterial small subunit ribosomal RNA", at positions 30 to 507 of the family's 1533-position model. The record is from RNAcentral.